UUCGAUUCUGGCUCAGAUUGAACGCUGGCGGGAUGCUUUACACAUGUCGAACGGCAGCACGGACUUCGGUCUGGUGGCGAGUGGCGAACGGGUGAGUAAUGUAUCGGAACGUGCCUAGUAGCGGGGGAUAACUACGCGAAAGCGUAGCUAAUACCGCAUACGCCCUUCGGGGGAAAGCGGGGACCUUCGGGCCUCGCACUAUUAGAGCGGCCGAUAUCGGAUUAGCUAGCGGUGGGGUAACGGCCUCACCAAGGCGACGAUCCGUAGCUGGUUUGAGGACGACCAGCCACACUGGGACUGAGACACGGCCUGUGACUCCUACGGGAGGCAGCAGUGGGAAUUUUGGACAAUGGGGGGAAACCCUGAUCCAGCCAUCCCGCGUGCGAUGAAGGCCUUCGGGUUGUAAAAGCACUUUUGGCAGGAAAGAAACGGCACGGGAUAAUACCCCGUGCAACUGACGGUACCUGCAGAAUAAGCACCGGCUAACUACGUGCCAGCAGCCGCGGUAAUACGUAGGGGUGCAAGCGUUAAUCGGAAUUACUGGGCGUAAAGCGUGCGCAGGCGGUUCGAAAGAAAGAUGUGAAAUCCCAGAGCUUAACUUUGGAACUUACUUUAACUACCGAGCUAGAGUGUGUCAGAGGGAGGUGGAAUUCCGCGUGUAGCAGUGAAAUGCGUAGAUAUGCGGAGGAACAACGAUGCAUAAAGGGGCAGCCUCCUGGGAUAACACUGACGCUCAUGCACGAAAGCGUGGGGAGCAAACAGGAUUAGAUACCCUGGUAGUCCACGCCCUAAACGAUGUCAACUAGCUGUUGGGGCCUUCGGCCUGGUAGCGCAGCUAACGCGUGAAGUUGACCGCCUGGGGAGUACGGUCGCAAGAUUAAAACUCAAAGGAAUUGACGGGGACCCGCACAAGCGGUGGAUGAUGUGGAUUAAUUCGAUGCAACGCGAAAAACCUUACCUACCCUUGACAUGUCUGGAAUCCCGAAGAGAUUUGGGAGUGCUCGCAAGAGAACCGGAACACAGGUGCUGCAUGGCUGUCGUCAGCUCGUGUCGUGAGAUGUUGGGUUAAGUCCCGCAACGAGCGCAACCCUUGUCAUUAGUUGCUACGAAAGGGCACUCUAUCGAGACUGCCGGUGACAAACCGGAGGAAGGUGGGGAUGACGUCAAGUCCUCAUGGCCCCAGGUAGGGCUUCACACGUCAGUACAAUGGUCGGGACAGAGGGUCGCCAACCCGCGAGGGGGAGCCAAUCCCAGAAACCCGAUCGUAGUCCGGAUCGCAGUCUGCAACUCGACUGCGUGAAGUCGGAAAUCGCUAGUAAUCGCGGAUCAGCAUGUCGCGGUGAAUACGUUCCCGGGUCUUGUACACACCGCCCGUCACACCAUGGGAGUGGGUUUUACCAGAAGUAGUUAGCCUAACCGUAAGGAGGCGAUUACCAUGGUAGGAUUCAUGACUGGGGUGAAGUCGUAACAAGGUAA
Molecule: ribosomal RNA, 1476 nt
Filed under: uncultured Bordetella sp.
Lineage: Bacteria; Pseudomonadati; Pseudomonadota; Betaproteobacteria; Burkholderiales; Alcaligenaceae
Description: partial 16S-23S ribosomal RNA intergenic spacer
Rfam family: Bacterial small subunit ribosomal RNA
Source: RNAcentral